UGGAGCAACAGGAUUAGAUACCCUGGUAGUCCACGCCCUAAACGAUGUACACUAGUUGUUGCGAUGCUCGUCAUUGCAGUAAUACAGUUAACACAUUAAGUGUACCGCCUGGGGAGUACGGUCGCAAGAUUAAAACUCAAAGGAAUAGACGGGGACCCGCACAAGCGGUGGAGCAUGUGGCUUAAUUCGAAGAUACGCGAAGAACCUUACCUAGACUUGAAAUCCUUGGAAUCUUUCAGAGAUGAGAGAGUGCUAGUUUACUAGAACCAAGUGACAGGUGCUGCACGGCUGUCGUCAGCCCGUGUCGUGAGAUGUUGGGUUAAGUCCCGCAACGAGCGCAACCCUCGUGAUUAGUUGCUAACAGUUCGGCUGAGCACUCUAAUCAGACUGCCUUCGUAAGGAGGAGGAAGGUGAGGACGACGUCAAGUCAUCAUGGCCCUUAUGUCUAGGGCUACACACGUGCUACAAUGGUUGGGACAAAGAGCAGCGAUACCGCGAGGUGGAGCAAAUCUUAAAACCCAAUCUCAGUUCGGAUUGGAGUCUGCAACUCGACUCCAUGAAGCUGGAAUCGCUAGUAAUCGUAGAUCAGCAAUGCUACGGUGAAUACGUUCCCGGGUCUUGUACACACCGCCCGUCAC
RNAcentral lists this ribosomal RNA (638 nucleotides) under uncultured marine bacterium. Its description in RNAcentral is "bacterial SSU rRNA". It matches the Rfam family "Bacterial small subunit ribosomal RNA", at positions 762 to 1400 of the family's 1533-position model. The record is from RNAcentral.